Molecule: ribosomal RNA, 571 nt
Filed under: uncultured Symbiodinium
Lineage: Eukaryota; Dinophyceae; Suessiales; Symbiodiniaceae
Description: partial Bacterial large subunit ribosomal RNA
Rfam family: Bacterial large subunit ribosomal RNA
Source: RNAcentral
GCAUACGGUGGAUGCCUUGGCAGUCAGAGGCGAUGAAGGACGUUGGAGCUUGCGAAAAGUCUCGGGGAGGUAGCAACCGACCUUUGAUCCGGGAAUGUCCGAAUGGGGAAACCCACCCAAUGUAAGUUGGGUAUCUCUUACUGAAUACAUAGGUAAGGGAGGCGAACGCGGGGAACUGAAACAUCUAAGUACCCGCAGGAAAAGAAAUCAACUGAGAUUCCCCCAGUAGCGGCGAGCGACCGGGGAAGAGCCUGCACGUAAUAGCUUUUGGGUUAGUGGAACGGUCUGGAAAGUCCGGCGAUAGAGGGUGAUAGCCCCGUACACGAAAACCUGGGAGUGGUACUGAGCGUGCGAUAAGUAGGUCGGGACACGUGAUAUCUUGACUGAAGACGGGGGGACCAUCCUCCAAGGCUAAAUACUCCUGACUGACCGAUAGUGAACCAGUACCGUGAGGGAAAGGUGAAAAGUACCCUGAGUAAGGGGGUGAAAUAGAACCUGAAACCGUGCGCUUACAAGCGGUCGGAGCCCAUGAGUUGGGUGACGGCGUGCCUUUUGCAUAAUGAGCCUACGA